GUUGGGAUGAUGAAAUUGGUAAACGUGUCAAGGGUGCACCAUCAACAAGGCUUGAAAACUAUAGGUUCAAAUCCUAUUCCCAACACCA
This 88-nucleotide transfer RNA is filed under the name Clostridium sp. Its description in RNAcentral is "tRNA-Leu". It matches the Rfam family "tRNA". From Rfam's summary of the family: Transfer RNA (tRNA) molecules are approximately 80 nucleotides in length. Their secondary structure includes four short double-helical elements and three loops (D, anti-codon, and T loops). Further hydrogen bonds mediate the characteristic L-shaped molecular structure. tRNAs have two regions of fundamental functional importance: the anti-codon, which is responsible for specific mRNA codon recognition, and the 3' end, to which the tRNAs corresponding amino acid is attached (by aminoacyl-tRNA synthetases). tRNAs cope with the degeneracy of the genetic code in two manners: having more than one tRNA (with a specific anti-codon) for a particular amino acid; and 'wobble' base-pairing, i.e. permitting non-standard base-pairing at the 3rd anti-codon position. RNAcentral also lists the same sequence under 1 other name. The record is from RNAcentral. Lineage: Bacteria; Bacillati; Bacillota; Clostridia; Eubacteriales; Clostridiaceae.